UCUAAGCACAGUGGUGCGGCAGCACGGACGGACGGCAGGAGUUCCUAACAGUCAGCAGCACUCAGCGGCCGUCACGGAUCGGAAAUAAGCAGGCUGCAAAGGUAGCAGAUAUUGGUGGUUCUUCACUGGAUGAUGCUACGAGGAGGAUGAUGAGAUUCCGGAUUUCAAAUGAAUUGGCGAUCCAGUACAAUCUCUUUGGCCGUCAUGGCAAAAAAAGAUUUUCGUCUUUGACGUCAUAUGUGGUGGACUGAAGAAGAACACAAUGACUGUGAACCAGAAAGACUCUCAAAAAAAGGGACUCUCAAAAUGGUUCACGGGGGCUAGAAACAGGGGCGGAAAGAGAGCAAUCAGGUCACAGCAGUCUUCAGGACUGUGAUCAGUUUUGUGUGUCCAUCCAUACAAAUUGUUGAGACCAAGUAUUUUAAUACUGUAUUGUAAGUUGAACAGUUUUUGUGUUUUAUGUAGUCGUUGAAGUGUUUAAAAGGGAUUGUUCACCCAAAAUAUAAAAAUCUUUUCUCUCUCUUCUAUUGAUUUAAACCAGUGGUGUCAAACUGAUUCUUGAGGGCAGAACUUGGCUCCAACCCUAAUUAAAAGUACCUGAUCCAGCUAAACAAACCCUUCAGGAUUAUUUUAAAACUAGAUGUAAUGUGUGUUGGAACAGGGUUGUAACUAAAAUACGCAGGGCUGUGGCCCUCCAGGGGUCUGACAUUGCUGCUUUAAACCCCAUAAGCCUUUCAUUCAUCUUUGAAACACAAGUGAUGUUAUUAAUUAAAUUAAGAUAUUUCUGUCUCUCCAUAUAAAGUCUAGUAUAUAUAUAUUAGUACAGAACAGACCAAAAGUUUGGACACACCUUCUCAUUCAAAGAGUUUUCUUUGUUUUCAUGACUAGGAAAAUUGUAGAUUCAUACUGAAGGCAUCAAAACUAUGAAUUAACACAUGUGGAAUUGUAUACAUAACAAAAAAGUGUGAAACAAAUGAAAAUAUGUCAUAUUGUAGGUUCUUCAAAGUAGCCACCUUUUGCUUUGAUUACUGCUUUGCACACUCUUGGCAUUCUCUUGAUGAGCUUCAAGAGGUAGUCACCUGAAAUGGUCUUCAACAGUCUUGAAGGAGUUCCCCGAGAGAUGCUUAGCACUUGUUGGCCCUUUUGCCUUCUGUCUGCGGUCCAGCUCACCCCUAAACCAUCUCGAUUGGGUUCAGGUCCGGUGACUGGAGGCCAGGUCAUCAUCACUCUCCUUCUUGCUCAAAUAGCCCUUGAUGCUCUCAGUGUGACUCUACAAUCUUCAUAGUCAUGAAAAUAAAGAAAACUCUUUAAAUAAGAAGGUGUGUCCAAACUUUUGCUCUGUACUGUGUGUGUAUAUAUAUGUGUGUGUAUUUAUGUGUAUAUAUAUAAUAUGUAUGUAUAUGUUUUUUUUUUGUUUUUUUUUUAUGUUACAUACGUUUGGUUAUGUAAAACCAGCUGUCGGGAUAGUAUCACCUUGUUUUAAAAUAAACUGGUAAUUUUGGUGUUUAACACUUGGUUUUAAUUUUGGUGUAGAAAAACUUAUAUUGAAAAUGUCUAAAUUAUAAUAAAGUGCUUGAUAUACUGAACUUUUAAAUUGCACCUUUAAUAUAAUUUUAUUUAUUUUUUGUAGAUGAAUGACCAGUGGAAUAGUCAAGAAGAUGUAUGAUUAUGAAUUUUGCCCAGUUUAGCCCCACUUAGGUUCUUUAUGACAUUUAUAUGGGCUAAUUCAUACAGGGCCCACAUGGAACCCAUGGACAAACCCAUCUGGGCCCCAUGUUUAAAGUCAUAUAGGGCUCACAUUGGCCCCACAGCUGUUGUGUUGCCUGGGUCAUAUGUGGGACAAAUAUGGGUCUUAUAUGUGUUGCCCAGUUGGGCCCCACAUUAGCCCCAGUCAGGCCCUACCUUUAUUUUGUUGUAUGGGUCAUAAGUGGGACCAAUAUGGGUCUUAUAUGUGUUGCCCAUUUGGGCCCCACAUUAGCCCCAGUUAGGCCCCAGUUGGGAUUCAUAUGGGUUAAUUCAGAUAGGGCCCACAUGGAACCCAUGGACAAACCCAUGUAGGCCCCAUAUUUACAGCCCAUAUGGGGCCCACAUGGGCCCCACGAUAGAAUGUUGGCUG
Carassius gibelio (silver crucian carp) is the source of this 2116-nucleotide long non-coding RNA. RefSeq lists it as uncharacterized. The transcript is spliced from 3 exons. The record is from RefSeq and is a predicted model, not a curated record. Lineage: Eukaryota; Metazoa; Chordata; Actinopteri; Cypriniformes; Cyprinidae.